This 2777-nucleotide ribosomal RNA is filed under the name Klebsiella aerogenes MGH 61. Its description in RNAcentral is "bacterial LSU rRNA". It matches the Rfam family "Bacterial large subunit ribosomal RNA". The record is from RNAcentral. Lineage: Bacteria; Pseudomonadati; Pseudomonadota; Gammaproteobacteria; Enterobacterales; Enterobacteriaceae.
CCCAGUGCAAUUCGUUGCACUAUCGUUAACUGAAUACAUAGGUUAACGAGGCGAACCGGGGGAACUGAAACAUCUAAGUACCCCGAGGAAAAGAAAUCAACCGAGAUUCCCCCAGUAGCGGCGAGCGAACGGGGAGCAGCCCAGAGUCUGAAUCAGCUUGUGUGUUAGUGGAACGGUCUGGAAAGUCCGACGGUACAGGGUGAUAGUCCCGUACACCAAAAUGCACAGGUUGUGAACUCGAAGAGUAGGGCGGGACACGUGGUAUCCUGUCUGAAUAUGGGGGGACCAUCCUCCAAGGCUAAAUACUCCUGACUGACCGAUAGUGAACCAGUACCGUGAGGGAAAGGCGAAAAGAACCCCGGCGAGGGGAGUGAAAAAGAACCUGAAACCGUGUACGUACAAGCAGUGGGAGCACCUUCGGGUGUGACUGCGUACCUUUUGUAUAAUGGGUCAGCGACUUAUAUUCUGUAGCAAGGUUAACCGUAUAGGGGAGCCGCAGGGAAACCGAGUCUUAACUGGGCGUUAAGUUGCAGGGUAUAGACCCGAAACCCGGUGAUCUAGCCAUGGGCAGGUUGAAGGUUGGGUAACACUAACUGGAGGACCGAACCGACUAAUGUUGAAAAAUUAGCGGAUGACUUGUGGCUGGGGGUGAAAGGCCAAUCAAACCGGGAGAUAGCUGGUUCUCCCCGAAAGCUAUUUAGGUAGCGCCUCGUGAACUCAUCUUCGGGGGUAGAGCACUGUUUCGGCUAGGGGGUCAUCCCGACUUACCAACCCGAUGCAAACUACGAAUACCGAAGAAUGUUAUCACGGGAGACACACGGCGGGUGCUAACGUCCGUCGUGAAGAGGGAAACAACCCAGACCGCCAGCUAAGGUCCCAAAGUCACAGUUAAGUGGGAAACGAUGUGGGAAGGCACAGACAGCCAGGAUGUUGGCUUAGAAGCAGCCAUCAUUUAAAGAAAGCGUAAUAGCUCACUGGUCGAGUCGGCCUGCGCGGAAGAUGUAACGGGGCUAAACUGUGCACCGAAGCUGCGGCAGCGACACUAUGUGUUGUUGGGUAGGGGAGCGUUCUGUAAGCCUGCGAAGGUGGCCUGUGAGGGUUGCUGGAGGUAUCAGAAGUGCGAAUGCUGACAUAAGUAACGAUAAUGCGGGUGAAAAGCCCGCACGCCGGAAGACCAAGGGUUCCUGUCCAACGUUAAUCGGGGCAGGGUGAGUCGACCCCUAAGGCGAGGCCGAAAGGCGUAGUCGAUGGGAAACAGGUUAAUAUUCCUGUACUUGGUGUUACUGCGAAGGGGGGACGGAGAAGGCUAUGUUAGCCGGGCGACGGUUGUCCCGGUUUAAGCAUGUAGGCGGAGGUUCCAGGUAAAUCCGGUACCUUUUAACGCUGAGGUGUGAUGACGAAGCACUACGGUGCUGAAGUAACAAAUGCCCUGCUUCCAGGAAAAGCCUCUAAGCAUCAGGUAACAUUGAAUCGUACCCCAAACCGACACAGGUGGUCAGGUAGAGAAUACCAAGGCGCUUGAGAGAACUCGGGUGAAGGAACUAGGCAAAAUGGUGCCGUAACUUCGGGAGAAGGCACGCUGAUAUGUAGGUGAAGCCCCUGCGGGUGGAGCUGAAAUCAGUCGAAGAUACCAGCUGGCUGCAACUGUUUAUUAAAAACACAGCACUGUGCAAACACGAAAGUGGACGUAUACGGUGUGACGCCUGCCCGGUGCCGGAAGGUUAAUUGAUGGGGUUAUCCGUAAGGAGAAGCUCUUGAUCGAAGCCCCGGUAAACGGCGGCCGUAACUAUAACGGUCCUAAGGUAGCGAAAUUCCUUGUCGGGUAAGUUCCGACCUGCACGAAUGGCGUAAUGAUGGCCAGGCUGUCUCCACCCGAGACUCAGUGAAAUUGAACUCGCUGUGAAGAUGCAGUGUACCCGCGGCAAGACGGAAAGACCCCGUGAACCUUUACUAUAGCUUGACACUGAACAUUGAGCCUUGAUGUGUAGGAUAGGUGGGAGGCUUUGAAGCGUGGACGCCAGUCUGCGUGGAGCCAACCUUGAAAUACCACCCUUUAAUGUUUGAUGUUCUAACGUUGGCCCCUUAUCGGGGUUGCGGACAGUGUCUGGUGGGUAGUUUGACUGGGGCGGUCUCCUCCCAAAGAGUAACGGAGGAGCACGAAGGUUAGCUAAUCCUGGUCGGACAUCAGGAGGUUAGUGCAAUGGCAUAAGCUAGCUUGACUGCGAGCGUGACGGCGCGAGCAGGUGCGAAAGCAGGUCAUAGUGAUCCGGUGGUUCUGAAUGGAAGGGCCAUCGCUCAACGGAUAAAAGGUACUCCGGGGAUAACAGGCUGAUACCGCCCAAGAGUUCAUAUCGACGGCGGUGUUUGGCACCUCGAUGUCGGCUCAUCACAUCCUGGGGCUGAAGUAGGUCCCAAGGGUAUGGCUGUUCGCCAUUUAAAGUGGUACGCGAGCUGGGUUUAGAACGUCGUGAGACAGUUCGGUCCCUAUCUGCCGUGGGCGCUGGAGAAUUGAGGGGGGCUGCUCCUAGUACGAGAGGACCGGAGUGGACGCAUCACUGGUGUUCGGGUUGUCAUGCCAAUGGCAUUGCCCGGUAGCUAAAUGCGGAAGAGAUAAGUGCUGAAAGCAUCUAAGCACGAAACUUGCCCCGAGAUGAGUUCUCCCUGACUCCUUGAGAGUCCUGAAGGAACGUUAAAGACGAUGACGUUGAUAGGUCGGGUGUGUAAGCGUAGCGAUACGUUGAGCUAACCGAUACUAAUGAACCGUGAGGCUUAACCUU